RNAcentral lists this ribosomal RNA (373 nucleotides) under uncultured organism. RNAcentral describes it as "partial 16S ribosomal RNA". It matches the Rfam family "Bacterial small subunit ribosomal RNA", at positions 527 to 896 of the family's 1533-position model. The record is from RNAcentral.
GUAGGUGGCAAGCGUUGUCCGGAAUUAUUGGGCGUAAAGCGCGCGCAGGCGGUUCUUUAAGUCUGAUGUGAAAGCCCACGGGCUCAACCGUGGAGGGUCAUUGGAAACUGGAGAACUUGAGUACAGAAGAGGAAAGCGGAAUUCCACGUGUAGCGGUGAAAUGCGUAGAGAUGUGGAGGAACACCAGUGACGAAGGCGGCUUUCUGGUCUGUAACUGACGCUGAGGCGCGAAAGCGUGGGGAGCAAACAGGAUUAGAUACCCUGGUAGUCCACGCCGUAAACGAUGAGUGCUAAGUGUUAGGGGGUUUCCGCCCCUUAGUGCUGCAGCUAACGCAUUAAGCACUCCGCCUGGGGAGUACGGCCGCAAAGGCUG